This 482-nucleotide ribosomal RNA is filed under the name uncultured bacterium. Its description in RNAcentral is "partial 16S ribosomal RNA". It matches the Rfam family "Bacterial small subunit ribosomal RNA", at positions 30 to 507 of the family's 1533-position model. The record is from RNAcentral.
AUUGAACGCUGGCGGCAUGCCUUACACAUGCAAGUCGAACGGUAACAGGUCUUAGGGUGCUGACGAGUGGCGGACGGGUGAGUAAUACAUCGGAACGUGCCCGAUCGUGGGGGAUAACGAAGCGAAAGCUUUGCUAAUACCGCAUACGAUCUACGGAUGAAAGCGGGGGAUCUUCGGACCUCGCGCGGACGGUGCGGCCGAUGGCGGAUUAGGUAGUUGGUGGGAUAAAAGCUUACCAAGCCGACGAGCUGUAGCUGGUCUGAGAGGAUGAUCAGCCACACUGGGACUGAGACACGGCCCAGACUCCUACGGGAGGCAGCAGUGGGGAAUUUUGGACAACGGGCGCAAGCCUGAUCCAGCCAUGCCGCGUGGAGGAUGAAGGCCUUCGGGUUGUAAACUGCUUUUGUACGGAACGAAAAGGUGCCUUCUAAUAAAGGGCGCUCAUGACGGUACCGGAAGAAUAAGCACCGGCUAACUACGUG